GGGAAAUCCCCAGAUUGGAACCGAAGUUCCCAUACGGGGACGGUCAAAGGUCAGAGAGUGCACUCCGGGAGACUCACCGUACGUGCUGACGGUGUCUGAAGCCAAAGGGAAGGACGGGAGAGGAAGAGUCCCCAGACGAAGGGACAUGAAGAUGGAGAUCCCUGAUUCUGCCUCCCUCCCUGCAGUUUCUUGCCCGGUUCUGCUCUAAGACGUGUGGGGAUUUUGCAUUUUGGCUCAUCCCUAGUUCCUCUCCUCCACUCUGGCCUAUGGGAUGAGAGGUCACUAUAGAUAAGAAUGGC
This is a long non-coding RNA of Orcinus orca (killer whale), 299 nucleotides long. RefSeq lists it as uncharacterized. The transcript has 3 exons. NCBI's taxonomy places the organism in Eukaryota, Metazoa, Chordata, Mammalia, Artiodactyla, Delphinidae. The record is from RefSeq and is a predicted model, not a curated record.